This is an RNA transcript of Helianthus annuus (common sunflower), 1699 nucleotides long. RefSeq lists it as uncharacterized. The record is from RefSeq and is a predicted model, not a curated record. NCBI's taxonomy places the organism in Eukaryota, Viridiplantae, Streptophyta, Magnoliopsida, Asterales, Asteraceae. The transcript is spliced from 7 exons.
AAUUCCCCCCAUUUUAACCCUAAACCCUCUCUUUCUUCACCAAAAUUCGCCCCUCUCAGUCCCAAAAUUCCCCUCUUUCUCUCCUUCCACUACCGUAUACCAAGAUGGUUCGGUAUCCCCUAGAAGUUCUUGCCAUUUUUGAUACUGUGCUCAUGGAUAUGGUUAGUAGAAUCAACCCCUUGUUUGAGAAGCAUAUACAGGCGAGGAUUUUUAAUCUCAAAACCUCUACUUCCAUGAGGACUCUCAACCCAUCUGAUAUUGAGAAGAUAGUAUCAUUGAAGGGAGUCAUUAGAUGCAGUUCCAAGGGAAGCAGUUUUCAGGUGUCUAGUUUGUGGCCAUUUCUCAGAUCCAAUUGUCGUAGAUAAAGGCUGAUGCACUUCGUUAGAGAUUCGAUGCGAACAAAGAACGUGGGAUUACAGGGUAACAUGAAUGCAACUGAAAAUAUAGGCACUUCAACAGAUGUCGAAUGUGUUGGUAAGUUGAUUUUUUUUUCAUUUUUUUCCUUCAGCUGAGAGGAUCUUCUGAAUUUUACUGUGUGUUGGUGUGCGUGCUUCUGUGACAAUUUGUUAGCUCCCAACCCUGGAAAACUUGGGCGAUCGUGUUGCUGCUUUUGAAAACUUGGCAAUUUUAUUAGAUGAUCUAUGGGAGUUUUAUGGUCUAUGACUAAGUGUUGUUAAUUAACUGGUCGAUGACUUAGUGGCGACUUUUGGCACCUUUGGCGAUGACAAAGUCGCCGCUAAAACUCCGUUUACCUGUGGUGAUGGAUAAUGGGAUUGUUUAUGAAGAUAGACAUCAUCUCAGGAUAAAUUACCAUAUUAUUGUGCUACUUACUUGAAUCAUAACUUGCAAUCACUUGGAAUGGACGAUUUAAUGAUUUAAAGAAUGUAUUAGAAUUGAUGUUUUUCAUUGAUCGUUAUUGAAACUGUCACUUAAUGGAAGAUUGUAAACGUAUUUGUAAACGUACCUGUGAAAGACGAACACGCUACCGCACCACCCCGCCACACCACACCACGCCAUCUCUAUACGCUUCAAUCUGCGACGCGACUCCGAAACCGGUACGUACAUUCCGAAAUCCUUUGUAAUUUCAGUGGAUUUGUUGGUAACUUUAGUAGAUCUGUGUCGUUUGACCUUUUGAGGUUUUGAUAUCGUGAUGUUUGACUUUUUUUUAGUCAAAGACAAGUGUUGUUAGGGUUACGGGUCUGGGUAUGAGUACACGUUGGUUUCUUUUUUUCAGAUUGUGCCGAUAGAACACCAGGGCUGCAGGGUUGCUUAUGCAAAUAUGAAGUAGUGUGUAGCUUCACAUCCAGACACACAAACGUUGUUCUUUAAUGGUGGGUUGAUGAAGUUAAUUUCAGAUGCAUCAUGGGUACUUAUACAAGAAUUUAUGGAUAAACAUGCAAUAGAUUAUGUGGCUCUCUAUUCUCUUUCGUAGGCUCAUAUUCAGUUUGUUCUAAAACUCGGAUUUUAGAGAUGAACAAAGUUUUUGAGUUCGAGUUACCCAACUAAGUUUGGAAACAAAGAUGCUGAGUUUGAGUUACCCAAUGAAGAAGCGGAUGAUGGUAGCGGUGAUGACACAUAUGUAGAAUUAUUAUAUUUUAUAUGUCAUGUGAUUUAAUGUCGUGUUUGUGACUUAAAACAAACACGGAAUUACGUUUUUGACAUUUAUGUAGUUUAUGCUUAUGUAGUUUAUAUCUAUUUA